Long non-coding RNA from Uranotaenia lowii, 367 nucleotides. RefSeq lists it as uncharacterized. NCBI's taxonomy places the organism in Eukaryota, Metazoa, Arthropoda, Insecta, Diptera, Culicidae. The record is from RefSeq and is a predicted model, not a curated record. The transcript is spliced from 2 exons.
CACUGGCUAGUCUGACAGAAUCAAUGAGUGCGCUCCUUUGUUGGUGUUGAUUUUUUGCAGUUUUCUCGGCGAGGAUUGUCGUAGGCGAUUACGGUAAACUGCUUCAGGAAAAACCUGUUUAGCUAACCCGGUGUGUAGCGGGAAACAUGAUGGGUGACGGAAAAUCCAUUUCCCUGCAUAAUCAUCACCCGGGUGAAGAUGGCUUCCUGGGAAACAGUUGCGUUGGAGCUACGAUAAUUACUUUCGCUUUACUCAUGGCCGGGUAGAAUCUUCGUGAGUGACUCCUCCAAGAAUCAUCAAACCCGGUUUCAUAAUCUCAUCUUACGUUACAAGUGUGGAAAUCCAAUAAAAAUUAUGUGAAAUAAAA